UACCCUAAAGACGAGGAUAACCAUUGGAAACAGUGGCUAAGACUGGAUAGGAAGAUAAAAGGCAUCUUUUAUCUUUUAAAAGACCUAGUAAUAGGUAUGCUUUAGGAGGGGCUUGCGCCAUAUUAGUUAGUUGGUAGGGUAAUGGCCUACCAAGACGAUGAUGUGUAGCUGGACUGAGAGGUUGAACAGCCACAUUGGGACUGAGACACGGCCCAAACUCCUACGGGAGGCAGCAGUAGGGAAUUUUCGGCAAUGGAGGAAACUCUGACCGAGCAACGCCGCGUGAAUGACGAAGUACUUCGGUAUGUAAAGUUCUUUUAUCAAGGAAGAAAAGCAAAUGGCGAACCAUUUGUUUGCCGGUACUUGAUGAAUAAGCCCCGGCUAAUUAUGUGCCAGCAGCCGCGGUAAGACAUAAGGGGCAAGUGUUAUCCGGAAUUAUUGGGCGUAAAGGGUGCGUAGGCGGUCUAGUAAGUCAGUGGUGUAAUGGCAACGCUUAACGUUGUCCGGCUAUUGAAACUGCUAAACUUGAGUUAGAUAGAGGCGAGUGGAAUUCCAUGUGUAGCGGUAAAAUGCGUAAAUAUAUGGAGGAACACCAGAGGCGUAGGCGGCUCGCUGGGUCUUAACUGACGCUGAGGCACGAAAGCGUGGGGAGCAAACAGGAUUAGAUACCCUGGUAGUCCACGCCGUAAACGAUGAGUACUAAGUGUCGGGUUAAACCGGUACUGAAGUUAACACAUUAAGUACUCCGCCUGAGUAGUACGUACGCAAGUAUGAAACUUAAAGGAAUUGACGGGACUCCGCACAAGCGGUGGAUCAUGUUGUUUAAUUCGAAGAUACCCGAAAAACCUUACCAGGUCUUGACAUGUUUUUGCAAAAUGAUAGUAAUAUCGUGGAGGUUACCAGAAACACAGGUGGUGCAUGGUUGUCGUCAGCUCGUGUCGUGAGAUGUUAGGUUAAGUCCUAAAACGAGCGAAACCCUUAUCGUUAGUUGCCAGCACGUUAUGGUGGGGACUUUAACGAGACUGCCAAUGAUAAAUUGGAGGAAGGUGAGGAUCACGUCAAAUCAGCAUGCCCCUUAUGACCUGGGCUACAAACGUGAUACAAUGGCUGUUACAAAGGGUAGCUGAAACGCAAGUUCUUGGCCAAUCCCCAAAAACAGUCCCAGUCCGGAUUGAAGUCUGCAACUCGACUUCAUGAAGUUGGAAUCGCUAGUAAUCGCGAAUCAGCAUGUCGCGGUGAAU
RNAcentral lists this ribosomal RNA (1241 nucleotides) under Candidatus Phytoplasma australasiaticum. RNAcentral's name for it is "bacterial SSU rRNA". It matches the Rfam family "Bacterial small subunit ribosomal RNA", at positions 127 to 1367 of the family's 1533-position model. The record is from RNAcentral. Lineage: Bacteria; Bacillati; Mycoplasmatota; Mollicutes; Acholeplasmatales; Acholeplasmataceae.